This 439-nucleotide ribosomal RNA is filed under the name uncultured bacterium. RNAcentral's name for it is "partial 16S ribosomal RNA". It matches the Rfam family "Bacterial small subunit ribosomal RNA", at positions 338 to 795 of the family's 1533-position model. The record is from RNAcentral.
CCUACGGGAGGCAGCAGUGGGGAAUAUUGGACAAUGGGGGGAACCCUGAUCCAGCGACGCCGCGUGAGUGAAGAAGUAUUUCGGUAUGUAAAGCUCUAUCAGCAGGGAAGAAAAUGACGGUACCUGACUACGACGCCCCGGCUAACUACGUGCCAGCAGCCGCGGUCAUACGUAGGGGGCAAGCGUUAUCCGGAUUUACUGGGUGUAAAGGGAGCGUAGACGGUGCAGCAAGUCUGAUGUGAAAGGUCGGGGCCCAACCCCGGGACUGCAUUGGAAACUGUUGAACUGGAGUACAGGAGAGGUAAGCGGAAUUCCUAGUGUAGCGGUGAAAUGCGUAGAUAUUAGGAGGAACACCAGUGGCGAAGGCGGCUGACUGGACGGUAACUGACGUUGAGGCUCGAAAGCGUGGGGAGCAAACAGGAUUAGAUACCCGGUAGUC